This 492-nucleotide ribosomal RNA is filed under the name uncultured bacterium. Its description in RNAcentral is "partial 16S ribosomal RNA". It matches the Rfam family "Bacterial small subunit ribosomal RNA", at positions 29 to 507 of the family's 1533-position model. The record is from RNAcentral.
AUUGAACGCUGGCGGCAUGCUUUACACAUGCAAGUCGAGCGGUAACAGGCCUUCGGGUGCUGACGAGUGGCGAACGGGUGAGUAAUGCAUCGGAACGUACCCAGAGGUGGGGGAUAACGCAGCGAAAGCUGUGCUAAUACCGCAUGUGAUCUGAGGAUGAAAGCGGGAGACCGAGCAGCAAUGUUUGGCCUCGCGCCUUUGGAGCGGCCGAUGUCGGAUUAGCUAGUUGGUGGGGUAAAGGCCUACCAAGGCGACGAUCCGUAGCUGGUCUGAGAGGACGACCAGCCACACUGGGACUGAGACACGGCCCAGACUCCUACGGGAGGCAGCAGUGGGGAAUUUUGGACAAUGGGCGCAAGCCUGAUCCAGCAAUGCCGCGUGCGGGAAGAAGGCCUUCGGGUUGUAAACCGCUUUUGGCAGGAACGAAACGGUGUCCGCUAAUACCGGGCGCUAAUGACGGUACCUGCAGAAUAAGCACCGGCUAACUACGUG